GACGAACGCUGGCGGCGUGCUUAACACAUGCAAGUCGAACGGAAAGGCCCUGCUUGCAGGGUACUCGAGUGGCGAACGGGUGAGUAACACGUGGGUGAUCUGCCCUGCACUUCGGGAUAAGCCUGGGAAACUGGGUCUAAUACCGGAUAGGAGCCAUCUUUAGUGUGAUGGUUGGAAAGUUUUUUCGGUGUAGGAUGAGCUCGCGGCCUAUCAGCUUGUUGGUGGGGUAAUGGCCUACCAAGGCGGCGACGGGUAGCCGGCCUGAGAGGGUGGACGGCCACAUUGGGGCUGGGAUACGGCCCAGACUCCUACGGGAGGCAGCAGUGGGGAAUAUUGCACAAUGGGCGCAAGCCUGAUGCAGCGACGCCGCGUGGGGGAUGACGGCCUUCGGGUUGUAAACUCCUUUCGCUAGGGACGAAGCUUUUUGUGACGGUACCUAGAUAAGAAGCACCGGCUAACUACGUG
RNAcentral lists this ribosomal RNA (465 nucleotides) under uncultured bacterium. RNAcentral's name for it is "partial 16S ribosomal RNA". It matches the Rfam family "Bacterial small subunit ribosomal RNA", at positions 28 to 507 of the family's 1533-position model. The record is from RNAcentral.